Paramuricea clavata is the source of this 1678-nucleotide non-coding RNA. NCBI's taxonomy places the organism in Eukaryota, Metazoa, Cnidaria, Anthozoa, Malacalcyonacea, Plexauridae. The record is from the annotation of a GenBank genome assembly.
CAACGAUAAAACUAAAAAUACAUUUUCUCGAGAAUGACUCCUAAAACCCAUCACUUUAUUUACAGAAGCCAAUCACUAAACAUGUUCAGUUUAUAUCGACUUCGUGUUUACCACCCACUGCCCCCACUGGAUACCUUGGAAAACUCUGAACACGAAGCUUCCAGAAGGUCAUCUUGCAGGCUCUAGGCUCUUCUAAACUUCUAAUUCAACCAAUAAUGGUUUACAUAUGCAAACGUAAAAACGCACAAGUUGUAACAAAUCUGCAGCAGACUUGUAGCAACGCUGUUCCAACAACUUGUCAACAGGAUGUGUUCGCACUACUUGUUCCCAGCUGGUUUUCAACAGCUUGUUGACAACUUGAUACAAGACUGUUGAGCUCAACAGACUUGUUACAAGUUGUUCCAACAACUUUGCUAUCGUCCUGCAAUUCAACAAUUUGUCAACAAGUUGUGAGUGACAACCUUGUAGCAACUUGAUAAAAUAACAGCCUUGUCACAACUUGUUGACAAGCUUGCUACAAGCCUGUUGCGAACACAGGGGAACCUUUUAAGCAAUUGGGCCUGAGAAAGUAAAUUUUGGCAAUGGGAAACAUAACUCAGAGACAGAGCUCGACGACUUGCGAUUUGAUAAAUAAAUUUUGGCCACAGAAAGGGAAAGUAGAUACGUAGAGUUGCAAGAAGAUAUACUUUUCAUGCCUUCCAAUGUGAAUGCUGCAUGACGUCUUGAAUUAAAACAUGAAACUACUGUAUGAUGUAUCGAAACAAGUUUCUAAAUUUGUUUUACUGUUACUGUUAGUGUAAGCGUAUCAGCGACCGGUCAAAAACAGAUUUUGUUUUGACCGAGCUAAAAUCAAGUUGACCGGUCAUUUUGACAGGAGACCUAUCUAAGUCAUCUCCCGUUAUUUUGAGCCCCGCAGCCAACAUUUGACACCCAUAAUAUGCACAUACAUGUAUAAUUGCAGACAGUAUACUAUAUAAAUAUAAUUGUUUGUUUAUGGCUUUGCCUAUACUGUGUGCACUGAAAGCAUUGUUUUGAACAUAUAGACAUGAUUGUAAUAUUGUAUAAUACAUGUAUUUAGAUUUUCCCAGAUGUUGACCUGGUCUUAAAGUGCAGGGAAGUAUCAAAUCCUUGGUAGAUCAAAUUAAAUCACAUAAGGCCAAAUAAAAAAAAUAGUUGGUUUCAGGUUUCACAGCCAUGUUUUAUAUGGGUAGGUAGGUCGGAAAAACAUUUUAUUUAAAAAAAUAUUUUGUCUCAAGUAUGCAAUAAAUAUAAGUUAAACUCUUAGUAUUUAUUGUUUUUACAUGUGUUUCGCGAAAAACAUGUUACAGUACAUGCAAGCCACACAUGUGUUUCGCGAGAAACAAACGCAUCAAGGCAUUUCCAUCUUUUUUCAGCCGUAGAUCCCAUGUCAGAAUACUGAGAAUAAUGUAAAACUAUGAUUUAACAGACUAGAUGAUGAUGAAAUUAUAAGCAAACAAAAUAAUUUGUAGACAAAUUAGUCUGAUGACUAUUUUUUUUUAGCUAUUUACGAAAGAAUCAUCUCUACUGGGAAUAAAAUUAUUAUGGUCGGUCAUAUUUUUGACAGGUCGGUCGGAAACCUGAAACCAACUAUUAUUUUUAUUUGGCCUAAACAAUCAAUUCAUUCUACGUCAUUGGUUCACAUUUCUUCACAGGACCU